This 253-nucleotide ribosomal RNA is filed under the name uncultured bacterium. RNAcentral describes it as "partial 16S ribosomal RNA". It matches the Rfam family "Bacterial small subunit ribosomal RNA", at positions 524 to 776 of the family's 1533-position model. The record is from RNAcentral.
UACGGAGGGUGCGAGCGUUGCUCGGAAUCACUGGGCGUAAAGCGUACGCAGGCUGUCGUACAGGUCGGGUGUGAAAGCCCGGGGCUCAACCCCGGAACUGCGCCCGAGACUGUAUGACUUGAAUGCGGGAGAGGGAAGCGGAAUUCCUGGUGUAGAGGUGAAAUUCGUAGAUAUCAGGAGGAACACCAGUGGCGAAAGCGGCUUCCUGGCCCGACAUUGACGCUCAUGUACGAAAGCGCGGGGAGCAAACAGG